AAAGAAAGUAAGCAAGGGCGCAUGGCGGAUGCCUUGGCUCUCGGAGGCGAUGAAGGACGUGAUAAGCUGCGAUAAGCUUCGGGCAGGUGCAAAUAACCUUUGAUCCGAAGAUUUCCGAAUGGGACAACCCGUCAUUCUGAAGGAAUGACAUCUUGCAUAGCAAGAGGCUAACGCAGGGAACUGAAACAUCUUAGUACCUGUAGGAAAAGAAAAUAAUAAUGAUUCCCCUAGUAGUGGCGAGCGAACGGGGAUUAGCCCAAACCAAUGUUGUUACGGCAAUAUUGGGGUUGUAGGACCACGAUGUCGCAAGAAAUUUAGUGAGAAGAACCCUUUGGAAAAUGGGACCAUAGACGGUGAUAGUCCGGUAUUCGAAGCUAAAUGAAGCGUAGUGGUAUCCUGAGUAGCGCGGGACACGAGGAAUCUUGCGUGAAUCUGCCGGGACCAUCCGGUAAGGCUAAAUACUCCCGAGAGACCGAUAGCGAACCAGUACUGUGAAGGAAAGGUGAAAAGCACUUCGAAUAGAAGAGUGAAAUAGUCCCUGAAACCGUGCGCCUACAAGCGGUCGGAGCUGCUUCAGCAGUGACGGCGUGCCUUUUGCAUAAUGAACCUACGAGUUACUUUUUCCGGCAAGGUUAAGGAUCUUGAGAUCCGCAGCCGAAGCGAAAGCGAGUCUUAACAGGGCGAUUAGUCGGAAGGAGUAGACGCGAAACCAAGUGAUCUACCCUUGGUCAGGUUGAAGGUUAGGUAACACUAACUGGAGGACCGAACCGAUAAGCGUUGAAAAGCUUCCGGAUGAACUGAGGGUGGGGGUGAAAGGCUAAUCAAACUUGGAGAUAGCUCGUACUCCCCGAAAUGCAUUUAGGUGCAGCCUUGGGAAUUACUACUGUGAGGUAGAGCGACUGAUAAGAUGCGAGGGCUUCACCGCCUAUCAAGUCUUGAUAAACUCCGAAUGCGCAGUAGUUCGAUCCCAGGAGUGAGGGCAUGGGUGCUAAGGUCCAUGUCCUAAAGGAGAAGAAUCCGGACCAUCAGCUAAGGUCCCGAAAUAAUUGCUAAGUUGAACUAACGAAGUCAGAUUGCUAAGACAGCUAGGAUGUUGGCUUGGAAGCAGCCAUUCAUUUAAAGAGUGCGUAACAGCUCACUAGUCGAGGAGUUUGGCGUGGAUAAUAAUCGGGCAUUAAGCAAUUUACCGAAGCUAUGGGAUCCGUAAGGAUCGGUAGGGGAGCAUUCCACUCUGCGUCGAAGGUGAAGCGUGAGCUUUGCUGGAGCGUGUGGAAAAGCAAAUGUAGGUAUAAGUAACGAUAAAGGGGGUGAGAAACCCCCUCGCCGAAAGACUAAGGUUUCCUGAUCAACGCUAAUCGGAUCAGGGUUAGUCGGGUCCUAAGGCUCAGCCGAACGGUGAGGCCGAUGGCAGAACAGGUUAAUAUUCCUGUACUACCUUAAGGAGUGACGUGGAGACGGAGGAGUGACAGCGCCGCGGACUGACGGAAUAGUCCGUUGAAGGGUGUAGAUGUUGAUUAUCCCAGGCAAAUCCGGGAUAAGAGUCGAACCUGAUAGUAUACCAAAUUCUUCGGAAUAAGGUAAUAGUGCGUGUAAGCAUACUCCCAAGAAAAUCCGCUAAACUUAAUCUUUAAGGUACCCGUACCGCAAACGGACACACGUAGUCGGGUUGAAUAUACUAAGGCGCUUGAGUGAUUCACGGUUAAGGAACUAGGCAAAUUGACCCUGUAACUUCGGGAUAAAGGGUCCCAACGAGAGUUGGGCGCAGAGAAUAGGUCCAGGCAACUGUUUAACAAAAACACAGGGCUGUGCCAAAUUGAAAGAUUACGUAUACAGCC
Molecule: ribosomal RNA, 1835 nt
Filed under: Escherichia coli
Lineage: Bacteria; Pseudomonadati; Pseudomonadota; Gammaproteobacteria; Enterobacterales; Enterobacteriaceae
Description: partial 23S ribosomal RNA
Rfam family: Bacterial large subunit ribosomal RNA
Source: RNAcentral